Molecule: ribosomal RNA, 253 nt
Filed under: uncultured bacterium
Lineage: Bacteria
Description: partial 16S ribosomal RNA
Rfam family: Bacterial small subunit ribosomal RNA
Source: RNAcentral
UACGGAGGGAGCUAGCGUUGUUCGGAAUUACUGGGCGUAAAGCGCGCGUAGGCGGCUUUGUAAGUUAGAGGUGAAAGCCCGGGGCUCAACCCCGGAAUUGCCUUUAAGACUGCGUCGCUUGAAUCCGGGAGAGGUGAGUGGAAUUCCGAGUGUAGAGGUGAAAUUCGUAGAUAUUCGGAAGAACACCAGUGGCGAAGGCGACUUACUGGACACAUAUUGACGCUGAGGUGCGAAAGCGUGGGGAGCAAACAGG